This 253-nucleotide ribosomal RNA is filed under the name uncultured bacterium. RNAcentral describes it as "partial 16S ribosomal RNA". It matches the Rfam family "Bacterial small subunit ribosomal RNA", at positions 524 to 776 of the family's 1533-position model. The record is from RNAcentral.
UACGAAGGGUGCAAACGUUGCUCGGAAUUAUUGGGCGUAAAGCGCACGUAGGCGGCUUGGCAAGUCGGAUGUGAAAUCCCUCGGCUCAACCAAGGAAGUGCAUCCGAAACUGCUGAGCUUGAGUACUUAAGAGGAUCGCGGAAUUCCCGGUGUAGAGGUGAAAUUCGUAGAGAUCGGGUGGAACACCAGUGGCGAAGGCGCCUGUCUGGCUGACAACUGACGCUGAGACUCGAAAGCAUGGGGAGCAAACAGG